RNAcentral lists this ribosomal RNA (253 nucleotides) under uncultured bacterium. Its description in RNAcentral is "partial 16S ribosomal RNA". It matches the Rfam family "Bacterial small subunit ribosomal RNA", at positions 524 to 776 of the family's 1533-position model. The record is from RNAcentral.
GACAGAGGGUGCAAACGUUGCUCGGAUUUACUGGGCGUAAAGCGCAUGUAGGCGGGCAAAUAAGUCGGGUGUGAAAUCCCUGGGCUCAACCUAGGAACUGCAUCCGAAACUGUUUACCUUGAGUAGUGGAGAGGAAAGCGGAAUUCCGGGUGUAGAGGUGAAAUUCGUAGAUAUCCGGAGGAACACCAGUGGCGAAGGCGGCUUUCUGGACACUAACUGACGCUGAGAUGCGAAAGCGUGGGGAGCAAACAGG